This 445-nucleotide ribosomal RNA is filed under the name uncultured bacterium. RNAcentral's name for it is "bacterial SSU rRNA". It matches the Rfam family "Bacterial small subunit ribosomal RNA", at positions 30 to 472 of the family's 1533-position model. The record is from RNAcentral.
AUUGAACGCUGGCGGCAUGCUUUACACAUGCAAGUCGAACGGUAACAGGCCUUCGGGUGCUGACGAGUGGCGAACGGGUGAGUAAUGCAUCGGAACGUGCCCAAUCGUGGGGGAUAACGUAGCGAAAGUUACGCUAAUACCGCAUAAGCCCUGAGGGGGGAAAGCAGGGGGAUCGCAAGACCUUGCGCGAAUGGAGCGGCCGAUGUCAGAUUAGCUAGUUGGUGGGGUAAAGGCCUACCAAGGCGACGAUCUGUAGCGGGUCUGAGAGGAUGAUCCGCCACACUGGGACUGAGACACGGCCCAGACUCCUACGGGAGGCAGCAGUGGGGAAUUUUGGACAAUGGGCGCAAGCCUGAUCCAGCCAUGCCGCGUGCGGGACGAAGGCCUUCGGGUUGUAAACCGCUUUCAGCCGGAAGAAUACGCCAAGGCUAAUAUCCUUGGUAGA